This 492-nucleotide ribosomal RNA is filed under the name uncultured bacterium. RNAcentral's name for it is "partial 16S ribosomal RNA". It matches the Rfam family "Bacterial small subunit ribosomal RNA", at positions 29 to 507 of the family's 1533-position model. The record is from RNAcentral.
AGUGAACGCUGGCGGUAGGCCUAACACAUGCAAGUCGAACGGCAGCACAGUAAGAGCUUGCUCUUACGGGUGGCGAGUGGCGGACGGGUGAGGAAUACAUCGGAAUCUACUUUUUCGUGGGGGAUAACGUAGGGAAACUUACGCUAAUACCGCAUACGACCUACGGGUGAAAGCAGGGGAUCUUCGGACCUUGCGCGAUUGAAUGAGCCGAUGUCGUAUUAGUUAGUUGGCGGGGUAAAGGCCCACCAAGGCGACGAUCGGUAGCUGGUCUGAGAGGCUGAUCAGCCACACUGGAACUGAGACACGGUCCAGACUCCUACGGGAGGCAGCAGUGGGGAAUAUUGGACAAUGGGCGCAAGCCUGACCCAGCCAUACCGCGUGUGUGAAGAAGGCCUUCGGGUUGUAAAGCCCUUUUGUUGGGAAAGAAAAGCAGCAGGUUAAUACCCCGCUGUUCUGACGGUACCCAAAGAAUAAGCACCGGCUAACUUCGUG